GAAUCAUUACCGGGAGCGCGCCCGGGGAGGAACCACUCCCCCCGGGCCUCGGGGCGCCUGAUCGGGGCCCUGAACUCUCACCUUGUGCUGUCGUACCUGACGUUGCUUCGGCGGCAUGGGCCCUUCCCUUCAGGGAGGGUUCCCUCGCCGGAGGGCCCCUAAAAUCUGAUUUUCUAGGUGAUGUCCGAGGGCGAAAACGAAAAUCGUGAAAAACUUUCAACAACGGAUCUCUUGGUUCCGGCAUCGAUGAAGAACGCAGCGAAAUGCGAUAAGUAAUGCGAAUUGCAGAAUUCAGUGAAUCAUCGAAUCUUUGAACGCACAUUGCGCCCCCUGGCACUCCGGGGGGCAUGCCCGUUCGAGCGUCAUUGACCCCCUCGAGCCUCAGGCUUGGUGUUGGGCUGCGUCCCUCCCGCUCCGGGGGGGAUGGGCCCGAAGAUAAGUGGUGGUCCCGAAACGACCCUCGGCGCGAUAGUAAUCUCUCGCUGUGGGGGCUCGCCUCGGGUGUCUUCCAACUACGCCCUCGGGGUGGAAUGCACCUGGAUCUGCGACACAUACAGUUCAGGUGCCUCCCCUUGGGAAGCAAACCUGCCCUUGGGAGGAGGAGGACACAGAGGGCCAUCUGAACGCAAUAUCGUUCGGGUAAAAUACCCUCCCUCGGGACGCACACGGUUGACCUCGAAUCGGGUAGGGAUACCCGCUGAACUUAAGCAUAUCAAUAAGCGGAGGACAAGAAACCAACCGGGAUUGCCUCAGUAACGGCGAGUGAAGCGGCAGCAGCUCAAAUUUGAAAUCUGGUUCCUCCCCGGGGGCCCGAGUUGUAAUUUGGAGAGGGUGCUUCAGGGGGCGCGUCGCUGGCCCAAGUGCCUUGGAACAGGACGCCUGGGAGGGUGAGAGCCCCGUACGUGGCCGGUGGCCGCUCCCGCACGAAGCCCUUUCGACGAGUCGAGUUGUUUGGGAAUGCAGCUCUAAGCGGGUGGUAAAUUCCAUCUAAAGCUAAAUACCGGCCGGAGACCGAUAGCGCACAAGUAGAGUGAUCGAAAGAUGAAAAGCACUUUGGAAAGAGAGUCAAACAGCACGUGAAAUUGUUGAGAGGGAAGCGCUUGCCCCCAGACCUGCCCGCGGGCGAUCACCCGUGGCCCUCGUGGCCCCGGGGCACUCGCCCGCGUCCAGGCCAGCACGGGUUCGGGCAGCGGGAGAAAGCGCCCGGGAACGUAGCUCCUUUCGGGGAGCCUUAUAGCCCGGGCGGUCAUGCCGCUCGCCCGGACCGAGGACCGCGCUUCGGCUAGGGUGCUGGCGUAAUGGGGGUCAGCGGCCCGUCUUGAAACACGGACCAAGGAGUCUAACGUCCCCGCGAGUGUUCGGGCGUCAAACCCCCGGCGCGGAAUGAAAGUGAACGGAGGUGGGAGCCCU
Molecule: ribosomal RNA, 1410 nt
Filed under: Leptogium cf. burnetiae Lep091095
Lineage: Eukaryota; Fungi; Ascomycota; Lecanoromycetes; Peltigerales; Collemataceae
Description: eukaryotic LSU rRNA
Rfam family: Eukaryotic large subunit ribosomal RNA (bases 671-1410)
Source: RNAcentral